UAGAGUUUGAUCCUGGCUCAGAACGAACGCUGGCGGCAGGCCUCAAACAUGCAAGUCUAGGGGGUGUAGCAAUACAUCACCGGCGGACGGGUGCGUAACACGUGGGAAUAUACCUUUCGGUACGGAACAACUGAGGGAAACUUCAGCUAAUACCGUAUACGUCCUAACGGAGAAAGAUUUAUCGCCGAAGGAUUAGCCCGCGCUCGAUUAGCUAGUUGGUGAGGUAAUGGCUCACCAAGGCUACGAUCGAUAGCUGUUCUGAGAGGAAGAUCAGCCACACUGGGACUGAGACACGGCCCAGACUCCUACGGGAGGCAGCAGUUGGGAAUCUUGGACAAUGGGGGAAACCCUGAUCCAGCCAUGCCGCGUGAGUGAUGAAGGCCUUCGGGUUGUAAAGCUCUUUUACCCGGGAAGAUAAUGACUGUACCGGGAGAAUAAGCUCCGGCUAACUUCGUGCCAGCAGCCGCGGUAGCCCA
RNAcentral lists this ribosomal RNA (476 nucleotides) under uncultured bacterium. RNAcentral describes it as "bacterial SSU rRNA". It matches the Rfam family "Bacterial small subunit ribosomal RNA", at positions 1 to 527 of the family's 1533-position model. The record is from RNAcentral.